UACACUGAAAGUGUUGUUUUUUUCAUCUCGAAAAUGUAUACAAAUUAUUAUUUUUAAGUUUUAGUUGCAAUGCAAAAAAAAAUACAACGGACCAAGGCAUUAACAAGGCAUUCUGCAUUAUAAGAUUAUCAGCUAUACAGGUAUGUUUCCAAAACCGUACCCCCAAGUAAUGCUUAAAGUUCAGUCCAACGUCCCCUGGCCAAAAGAUAACAGUACACCCAAGGGCAGAAGACAGCGCCUAUGAAUGGACUACCCGCGCGACCCAACUGGAAAUCACAAUUUGGGAACCACUAGGCUACUUACUACUUUAGGGUCGGCGAUGCCGUGAUGGUUUCAGGAGGCAUGGUCUCGAUGGUGUUGACAACAUGAUUCUGCUGCGAGGAUAUCAUCUCUGAACUAAACAUUUAACGACCAGAAACCAGGUUGCAUUCUGCUCCGUGCAAGGAGAGGAG
This is a long non-coding RNA of Oncorhynchus keta (chum salmon), 452 nucleotides long. RefSeq lists it as uncharacterized. The record is from RefSeq and is a predicted model, not a curated record. The transcript is spliced from 3 exons. NCBI's taxonomy places the organism in Eukaryota, Metazoa, Chordata, Actinopteri, Salmoniformes, Salmonidae.